UCCCUGGUGGCUCAGAGGUUAAAGUGUCUGCCUCCAAUGCAGGAGACCCGGGUUUGAUCCCUGGGUUGGGAA
Molecule: transfer RNA, 72 nt
Filed under: Bos taurus (domestic cattle)
Lineage: Eukaryota; Metazoa; Chordata; Mammalia; Artiodactyla; Bovidae
Also listed under: 3 other names
Rfam family: tRNA
About the family: Transfer RNA (tRNA) molecules are approximately 80 nucleotides in length. Their secondary structure includes four short double-helical elements and three loops (D, anti-codon, and T loops). Further hydrogen bonds mediate the characteristic L-shaped molecular structure. tRNAs have two regions of fundamental functional importance: the anti-codon, which is responsible for specific mRNA codon recognition, and the 3' end, to which the tRNAs corresponding amino acid is attached (by aminoacyl-tRNA synthetases). tRNAs cope with the degeneracy of the genetic code in two manners: having more than one tRNA (with a specific anti-codon) for a particular amino acid; and 'wobble' base-pairing, i.e. permitting non-standard base-pairing at the 3rd anti-codon position.
Source: Rfam by way of RNAcentral